Small nuclear RNA from Ictidomys tridecemlineatus (thirteen-lined ground squirrel), 107 nucleotides. The record is from Ensembl. NCBI's taxonomy places the organism in Eukaryota, Metazoa, Chordata, Mammalia, Rodentia, Sciuridae.
GUGCUCACUAUGGCAGCACAUAUACUAAAAGUGGAGCAAUACAAAAAAGAUUAGCAUAACCCUUGUGCAAAGAUGACAUGCAAAUUCAUGACGCAUUCCAUACCUUU